Gadus macrocephalus (Pacific cod) is the source of this 736-nucleotide long non-coding RNA. RefSeq lists it as uncharacterized. The record is from RefSeq and is a predicted model, not a curated record. NCBI's taxonomy places the organism in Eukaryota, Metazoa, Chordata, Actinopteri, Gadiformes, Gadidae. The transcript has 2 exons.
ACAUUCCUUUGUGACUAUCUUUUACAUCUUAAUGACAACAGAUAUUGGCUGCUUUCAUACUGUUGGGUUCCUCCAUUGGAAAAGAGCUGUGAUUCGCUGCAAGUCAUUCCUUAAAAGGAGAUGACAUGAAUACUUCACUGGUCACUGCAGGAGCUGCUAUUGUUAUUUUAUUUGUUCAAUGUUUCCACAGUUGCUCUUGGUGCUUGAGGUUGAGGUUAGGAGGUAAAGAGUCAGACUGCCAUUAACUGUUUUUCAGCUGCCGCAAACCACACUCGUUCUCUAUCUAGGGCUGCAUUUGUCCCCUCAACGAUGUGAAGAUCACCCUUCAGGAAAUGGACAUUUAUAACAGAUGUGUUAAAAGUGGUCGUUUUAAACUAGAAUAAUGUUUAUGUUUAAUUGUAUCUUGACUAUGGUACCAUGUAGUGUGAUCACUAUAAAACACUUGUAAACUAAUUAUCUAGUUGCUCUGCAAUGUUCAGAGGGAACAGUACACUUGGGUCCUGGUGUCUUGUAGGUCUGCACUGACUGUUUUAGCGGCUAAACAUUGAAAUUAUCUUUGAUUUGCUUUUUGACUGAAGGUUUCUUUUGACAAUCGACUAUUUCUUCAGCUUCAUUCCUUUAAAUUGCAGUGUUUGCCCUGAACAUUGCCUUUCAUAUAUUUCAAUCAUUGGUACCAAACAUUUAAUAAUAUCUCCCUCGAAAUAAAUUGUAUAUUAAACCCAAAUCUCAAAUCAUC